UUAUAGAGGCGCGGCUGCGAAAAGUAGCGGGACAAAAGAGGCAGGUCUCUCCCCCGAAAGGCAAAGCCGCCGAAGUUUCCCUCCCCCCUGCAAGGUCGGAAGCUGGGUACGGCGCGAACAGCGUUGUAACUGUCAUCUGCGGAUGGAGCACUAUAA
This 156-nucleotide non-coding RNA is filed under the name chicken gut metagenome. RNAcentral describes it as "Lysine riboswitch". It matches the Rfam family "Lysine riboswitch aptamer". Rfam says of the family: Riboswitches are metabolite binding domains within certain messenger RNAs that serve as precision sensors for their corresponding targets. Allosteric rearrangement of mRNA structure is mediated by ligand binding, and this results in modulation of gene expression. The record is from RNAcentral.